GAUGGGAUUUAGAUCAGUAGAAAUUAGGAGGCCCACAUGGUUGUAUAAACAAAAACAAAGCAGAGAAACAAAACAAUGAAAACGCUGCACUAAUGAGAGGAAUUGCGAACGGCGGUGGUAUGUUGGCCGGAAGGAUGAUGGUGGUGAGACAGAUGGAAGAAUAUGGUGGAUGAUGGGAAGGGGGAUUCGGCGGAGGCAACUUGAAGGUGAUGGUGAUGAUUGGGCUUGGUGAGGAUGAAGACGACGACAUCAUCAGGCUCUGGACUUAACAAAAGCAGCAAUGAAACUACUUUUCUCUCACAGUCUCGACAUCAUAACAACAGAACAACAAAAACUUAAAAUAAUACCCUCUUCAUGAAAUUCUGUUUUUUAUGAGUUCAUAUUUUAAGUUUGAGAUUGUUGUUAUUAUAACUUGGAUAUUAUUGUGGUCUUUUUGCAGAGGCAGGAAUAAUGGUCAAGAAAAGCGAACAAGAAUUCAAAUAUUCAUGCCAUGAGAUUAAUAAAGGAGUGCAAAGAAUUUGAAGAAAUACCCGCUCCGAAUGUUCUCGGAGGUGAAGACCCGUUGAUUUUAAUACCAAAUUGAUGAAGAAAUAUAGCUGUUAGAAUUGUCUUAAAAGUGUAGAAAAAAAAGUCAAGCUAGCAUAGCACAACAUGCUGUUUGGAGAGGACAGAUUGUAAACACAAAAAUGUGGAAGAAGACAAACACAAAGACAAAAAGAUGUUUGGACUUGAAACCAAAAAGAAAAAAAACUCUCUAACAUAUUUUAGAACUAUUUUUUCUCCUACCUUUUCUAAAAAAGUUUGUAUAUAGUAUAUGCUUUAUAUAAAAAAGAAAAAAGUAUGCGUUACCCUUUUUUUUUAAGAAACAAAUCUGUUUAGUUUUAGUUUUUUUUAAUAAUAAUAAUAAUAAAUAAUAAAUCAUAAAAUAAAACAAAGUUUUAAUUUAAUAACAAUAAAAUAAUUUAAUAACUAAAUUGAAUUUAAUAAUUUAUUUUAAAAUAAAUCAAAUAACUUAAAAACAAUAUAAUAAAAUAAAUUAACUUAAUAGUUUUUUUUAGAAACAACAAUGCAAUCAUAGAAUAAAAAUUAAACUUUAAUAUAUUUUUACU
Molecule: long non-coding RNA, 1109 nt
Organism: Vicia villosa (hairy vetch)
Lineage: Eukaryota; Viridiplantae; Streptophyta; Magnoliopsida; Fabales; Fabaceae
Exons: 3
Source: RefSeq, a predicted model, not a curated record